AUGGCUGAUGUUAAGACCACGAACAAUGGCUUUCCAUGUGGACCAUUAUCAGCAGAGGCUACAUAUAGGUAUCUACAGUCACAGCGCAUCUUAAUUGGGCACAACAUGACAAGAUUCAGCGGUAAGCAGUUUCUAAACUUCCACAAUCAGUAUAUUUUUUCUGCAUCCAUAUUUGAUGUGUAUUAUACAUUAUACAUAUUAUAUAUGCCGUAAUUUAAUAGUAAUAAUACAAAAUGUUUCUUUGAAUUCACAUACAUACCUGUACUGUGUGUAUAUAUAUGUGUGUGUGUGUGUGUGUGUGUGUGUGUUAAAUGUACAUAUUUACAUUUCCUCAGCACAUUCAAUGUAUCACUGAAUAAUUUUUUUUUUUUUUUAAGAAACACCCAAGAAUGUGGUCCAAGAAUCUCACAGAACUCAAUCAAAGACUGGAAUUUAGCUGGAGCAAGUAAACGUAAAAAGAAGUGCUUGAGGUGAACACAGAUUAAUAUUCAGUGUGUAAACAGCAAAACAGGGUUUAAAGCCAUCUAUGCUUAAUGGAGUAAAAGUAUGCUGACUAUGGGCAGUUUAAAUCAAGAUGCAACACAAUUAAACAGCAUGCACAACCACUAAAUAUCUCUACCUACAACCUAGUAAGCAGUUAAACAAGGCACCAUUAUCUUCUGUAAUUGGACCAUUAACUGAGACUCUAAUUCCGGUGUGGCAUUCCAUUUACUUACAACCUACAUAUGCAAAGCCAUUGAACACACUAAUGGUGUGGCUAAAAACAUGCUAGGCAAUACAGAGUGCGGUUAUUUGUGUUUCUUGGUUUCCUCAUCACAAACACUUUACCUUAAUUUACUGCCGGUCAGGCAUUGGCAUGAAUCCCCGAGUCUGAUCAUCCUUAGAGCAGAUGGCAUGGCAAGCUUCCAUUCGGAGUUAGACUAAGAGAUAAUCCUCACAGCACAUGGUGGGCUAUAACACAGAGACUCCCCCCCUUUUUUUUUUUUAUUUUGUGAGUGAGGGGGGUCCAUGUGUGGGGGUGGAAAGUCUCUAAAGUCCUGCAAACUUCAGUGGAGGCCAAACCAUCAAGAUUGAGAUCAUCCAGACCUCCAGGUGUGAGUUGAGCCUCUGUUGGAUAGGGUCUGUGAUCUCUUAACCACUCACACACAUAGUGUAUUGAAAGAGGCUAAUAUUUGACCCCAUUUGCACCUGUUAUUAACUUUUAGUGAUCCGA
Molecule: long non-coding RNA, 1213 nt
Organism: Cyprinus carpio (common carp)
Lineage: Eukaryota; Metazoa; Chordata; Actinopteri; Cypriniformes; Cyprinidae
Source: Ensembl